RNAcentral lists this unclassified non-coding RNA (287 nucleotides) under fungal sp. RNAcentral's name for it is "partial internal transcribed spacer region". The stretch from base 1 to 46 matches the Rfam family "Eukaryotic small subunit ribosomal RNA", at positions 1786 to 1831 of the family's 1831-position model. Lineage: Eukaryota; Fungi. The record is from RNAcentral.
AAGUCGUAACAAGGUUUCCGUAGGUGAACCUGCGGAAGGAUCAUUAAAAUACGAUGUUAUAAUCGUUUCUCACACACUUCUGGGUGUUUUGUUGUUGUUAUUAUAUGUAUGUAUGGGGUCAAACCCAGUGCAUAUAUAUAAUACACAAUAACUAAUGCCUAUGUAGAACUUGUUUUCUUUUUUUUCUUAUUAUUAUCAACACCUAAACGAAAAUAAUAUAAGAAAUAAAAAAAUACAUAAAAGCUUCUAACUAAAUACAACUCUUAGCAACGGAUAUCUUGGUUCUC